UACAGAGGGGGCCAGCGUUAUUCGGAAUUAUUGGGCGUAAAGGGCGCGUAGGCGGCUUUGCGUGUCUUUCGUGAAAUCCCUCGGCUCAACUGAGGACGUGCGGAAGAAACUGCAGGGCUGGAGUCCGGGAGAGGAGGGUGGAAUUCCCAAUGUAGCGGUGAAAUGCGUAGAUAUUGGGAGGAACACCGGUGGCGAAGGCGGCCCUCUGGACCGGUAUUGACGCUGAGGUGCGAAAGCGUGGGGAGCAAACAGG
This 253-nucleotide ribosomal RNA is filed under the name uncultured bacterium. RNAcentral describes it as "partial 16S ribosomal RNA". It matches the Rfam family "Bacterial small subunit ribosomal RNA", at positions 524 to 776 of the family's 1533-position model. The record is from RNAcentral.